CGUUGAAGAACCGAUUCCCGUACGGUUUCCGAAGUUAAGCAAAGUCGAACCUGGUCAGUACCUAGAUGGGUGACCGCUUGGGAAUGCCAGGUGUUGUAA
Non-coding RNA from Acanthosepion pharaonis, 99 nucleotides. NCBI's taxonomy places the organism in Eukaryota, Metazoa, Mollusca, Cephalopoda, Sepiida, Sepiidae. The record is from the annotation of a GenBank genome assembly.